AAAAAUUCAGGAAUAUAUAAAACAACUCAGAACGAUCUUUCAUUAAGAAAAUCCAAGUACAUCUUAAAUGACCAUCAAUGAAACUAACAAAAUAACGAAAUCCCAAGGUUGAACUGACUAUACUAGGACCCCAUAUAUUCAAAUGAACUAAAGAAAAAACAGACUCUGCACGACUCCCAAUACUACGAGGAAAGGAGGCUCGGGUAUGUUUCCCCAGCUGACAUGACUCACACUCUAAUGUGGAUAAACUGGACAAAACGAGGCACCAUUUUCUGAAGCUUGGACAAGCUAGGAUGUCCUAAACGACUGUGAAGUAGGUCUGGAGGAUCUGCAACUAGACAGGCCUUAGAGGAUGGACAAGCUAGGAUGUCCUAAACGACUGUGAAGUAGGUCUGGAGGAUCUGCAACUAGACAGGCCUUGGAGGAUUUUAGUGAGUUAAGGUAGAAGAGUCCUUCUUAUUCGAGUUAUGUUCCAA
RNAcentral lists this long non-coding RNA (476 nucleotides) under Nicotiana benthamiana. Its description in RNAcentral is "long non-coding RNA (NBEN_LNC011147)". The record is from RNAcentral. Lineage: Eukaryota; Viridiplantae; Streptophyta; Magnoliopsida; Solanales; Solanaceae.